GACGAACGCUGGCGGCGUGCCUAAUACAUGCAAGUUGAGCGCUGAAGGUUGGUACUUGUACCGACUGGAUGAGCAGCGAACGGGUGAGUAAAGCGUGGGGAAUCUGCCUUUGAGCGGGGGACAACAUUUGGAAACGAAUGCUAAUACCGCAUAAAAACUUUAAACACAAGUUUUAAGUUUGAAGGAUGCAAUUGCAUCACUCAAAGAUGAUCCCGCGUUGUAUUAGCUAGUUGGUGAGGUAAAGGCUCACCAAGACGAUGAUACAUAGCCGACCUGAGAGGGUUAUCGGCCACAUUGGGACUGAGACACGGCCCAAACUCCUACGGGAGGCAGCAGUAGGGAAUCUUCGGCAAUGGACGAAAGUCUGACCGAGCAACGCCGCGUGAGUGAAGAAGGUUUUCGGAUCGUAAAACUCUGUUGGUAGAGAAGAACGUUGGUGAGAGUGGAAAGCUCAUCAAGUGACGGUAACUACCCAGAAAGGGACGGCUAACUACGUG
This 497-nucleotide ribosomal RNA is filed under the name uncultured bacterium. RNAcentral's name for it is "partial 16S ribosomal RNA". It matches the Rfam family "Bacterial small subunit ribosomal RNA", at positions 28 to 507 of the family's 1533-position model. The record is from RNAcentral.